RNAcentral lists this ribosomal RNA (466 nucleotides) under uncultured bacterium. Its description in RNAcentral is "partial 16S ribosomal RNA". It matches the Rfam family "Bacterial small subunit ribosomal RNA", at positions 28 to 507 of the family's 1533-position model. The record is from RNAcentral.
GAUGAACGCUGGCGGCGUGCUUAACACAUGCAAGUCGAACGGAAAGGCUCCUGCUUGCAGGGGUACUCGAGUGGCGAACGGGUGAGUAACACGUGGGUGAUCUGCCCUGCACUUCGGGAUAAGCCUGGGAAACUGGGUCUAAUACCGGAUAGGACGAUGGUUUGGAUGCCAUUGUGGAAAGUUUUUUCGGUGUGGGAUGAGCUCGCGGCCUAUCAGCUUGUUGGUGGGGUAAUGGCCUACCAAGGCGUCGACGGGUAGCCGGCCUGAGAGGGUGUACGGCCACAUUGGGACUGAGAUACGGCCCAGACUCCUACGGGAGGCAGCAGUGGGGAAUAUUGCACAAUGGGCGCAAGCCUGAUGCAGCGACGCCGCGUGGGGUAUGACGGCCUUCGGGUUGUAAACUCCUUUCGCUAGGGACGAAGCGCAAGUGACGGUACCUGGAGAAGAAGCACCGGCUAACUACGUG